Molecule: ribosomal RNA, 406 nt
Filed under: uncultured bacterium
Lineage: Bacteria
Description: partial 16S ribosomal RNA
Rfam family: Bacterial small subunit ribosomal RNA
Source: RNAcentral
AUUGAACGCUGGCGGCAGGCCUAACACAUGCAAGUCGAACGAGUGGCGGACGGGUGAGUAAUGUCUGGGAAACUGCCUGAUGGAGUGGGAUAACUACUGGAAACGGUAGCUAAUACCGCAUACCAUCGGAUGUGCCGAGAUUGGAUUAGCUAGUCGGUGGGGUAAAGGCUCACAUAGGCGACGAUCCCUAGCUGGUCUGAGAGGCUGACCAGCCACACUGGAACUGAGACACGGUCCAGACUCCUACGGGAGGCAGCAGUGGGGAAUAUUGCACAAUGGGCGAAAGCCUGAUGCAGCCACGCCGCGUGUAUGAAGAAGGCCUUCGGGUUGUAAAGUACUUUUAGCGGGGAGGCGUUACCCGCACAAGAAGCAACGGCUAACUCCGUGCCAGCAGCCGCGGUAAUAC